GAACGGCAGACUAUUGCGACUGGUGACUCUUUGGUGACUCUAAAGUCCUACUAGUGUUGGUGACUCCUUGGAUAUUUUACAGUUUCCUGUUGUCCAGCAUCUCUCCUCUAUCCCAUUGGCUCUCUGUCUGUCCUAUACCUUGUAUCCACUCUGUCUACAAUUUGAUAACUCUAGCUUUCCUGUCAAAUCUACCCCUCUAUCUUUGAUUUUGGAAACUCUAUCUUUGUAUCCCUCUUCUAUCCCACUCUAUCUGUAUACUGAACCGAUAUUUUGAAACAUGAAUUUUGAAACCUGAACUCUGAAACCCAAUUUUUGGUUACCUAAGGUCAUUGAUACCUGUCUGUCUGAACAGAACUCUGAGAGUCUCCACUCUCUG
Long non-coding RNA from Pungitius pungitius (ninespine stickleback), 376 nucleotides. RefSeq lists it as uncharacterized. The transcript has 3 exons. Lineage: Eukaryota; Metazoa; Chordata; Actinopteri; Perciformes; Gasterosteidae. The record is from RefSeq and is a predicted model, not a curated record.